GACGAACGCUGGCGGCGUGCUUAACACAUGCAAGUCGAACGGAAAGGCCCUGCUUUUGUGGGGUGCUCGAGUGGCGAACGGGUGAGUAACACGUGAGUAACCUGCCCUUGACUUUGGGAUAACUUCAGGAAACUGGGGCUAAUACCGGAUAGGAGCUCCUGCUGCAUGGUGGGGGUUGGAAAGUUUCGGCGGUUGGGGAUGGACUCGCGGCUUAUCAGCUUGUUGGUUGGGUAGUGGCUUACCAAGGCUUUGACGGGUAGCCGGCCUGAGAGGGUGACCGGCCACAUUGGGACUGAGAUACGGACCAGACGGCUACGGGAGGCAGCAGUGGGGAAUAUUGCACAAUGGGCGGAAGCCUGAUGCAGCAACGCCGCGUGCGGGAUGACGGCUUUCGGGGUGUAAACCGCUUUCGCCUGUGACGAAGCGUGAGUGACGGUAAUGGGUAAAGAAGCACCGGCUAACUACGUG
RNAcentral lists this ribosomal RNA (468 nucleotides) under uncultured bacterium. RNAcentral's name for it is "partial 16S ribosomal RNA". It matches the Rfam family "Bacterial small subunit ribosomal RNA", at positions 28 to 507 of the family's 1533-position model. The record is from RNAcentral.